Molecule: ribosomal RNA, 1047 nt
Filed under: Ceratomyxa sp. Olo-14
Lineage: Eukaryota; Metazoa; Cnidaria; Myxozoa; Bivalvulida; Ceratomyxidae
Also listed under: 2 other names
Description: SSU rRNA
Rfam family: Eukaryotic small subunit ribosomal RNA
Source: RNAcentral
UACUGGGGUAGCUCCAAGCGAGUUUCACCCGGAAUGGACGUAGCCCAAAAACAUCGGUGAUGAGCUACUGGAGGGCAAGUCUGGUGCCAGCAGCCGCGGUAAUUCCAGCUCCAGUAGUGUAUAUCAACAUUGUUGCGCUUAAAACGCUCGUAGUUGGAAUGGGGGCCGCCGUCGAAGGCUCUCUGACGGGGAGUUUUCGAUUUAUGGCUGGAGCCGGGGAUCUCGGCUUGAGAAUUCCUGGCGCUGGUUUGGUGGCCCAAUAUCAUGGGCCCCGGUCUGGGUCUUGGGUGGUCUAGACCGGGAGUUGAUGGGGUGUGCCUUGAAGAAAACAUGGUGCUCAAAGCAAGCGUAGAUGCUGGGGUGUGUAAGCAUGGAACGAAACUGUGACCGGGUUUCGCUGGGGUCUGUGGUUUUUUUUUUCGAUUGUGGAUCCUAGCGGGAGCAGCUAGCCUUGGUGAGCUGGGUCUCAACGGUUAACAGGGACACCUGGGGGUACUAGUACUCUGUGGCGAGAGGUGAAAUUCUUAGACCCGCAGAAGACUGGCUGUGGCGAAAGCAUUUGCCAAGAGUGUUUUCAUUAACCAAGAACGAAGGUCAGAGGAUCGAAGACGAUCAGAUACCGUCCUAGUUUUGACAGCUAACGAUGCCGGCCUAGCGUUAGGACAGCUACCCCUAAGGGUAGAGCGGUCUUGGUGCUUGAGGGAAACCUAGCUUUCGGGCUGCGGGGAGAAUAUCGCUGCAAGGCUGAAAUUUAAAGAAAUUGACGGAGAGGCACCACCAGGAGUGGAGCCUGCGGCUUAAUUUGACUCAACACGGGGAAACUCACCGGGUCCAGACAUUGGUAGGAUUGACAGACUAGGGGAUCUUUCAUGAUUCAGUGAAUGGUGGUGCAUGGCCGUUCUUAGUUGGUGGAGUGAUCUGUCAGGUCUAUUCCGGUAACGAGCGAGAUCGCGGCUCCGUGUUAUUUUCCCUUGGAAUUUGGUUACUAGCCUAGAAUCUUGGGGGUCUGUAAUGUUUUCUGAGAAAUGGUGCUAGAGCCAACAAUUC